CGGGUGAGUAACGCGUGAGGAACCUGCCUCAAAGAGGGGGACAACAGUUGGAAACGACUGCUAAUACCGCAUAAGCCCACGGCUCGGCAUCGAGCAGAGGGAAAAGGAGCAAUCCGCUUUGAGAUGGCCUCGCGUCCGAUUAGCUAGUUGGUGAGGUAACGGCCCACCAAGGCGACGAUCGGUAGCCGGACUGAGAGGUUGAUCGGCCACAUUGGGACUGAGACACGGCCCAA
This 233-nucleotide ribosomal RNA is filed under the name uncultured bacterium. RNAcentral's name for it is "partial 16S ribosomal RNA". It matches the Rfam family "Bacterial small subunit ribosomal RNA", at positions 103 to 334 of the family's 1533-position model. The record is from RNAcentral.